RNAcentral lists this transfer RNA (69 nucleotides) under Potamophylax rotundipennis. RNAcentral's name for it is "tRNA-Gln". Lineage: Eukaryota; Metazoa; Arthropoda; Insecta; Trichoptera; Limnephilidae. The record is from RNAcentral.
UAUAUUUUAAUGUAAGAAGCAUUUAAAUUUUUGAAGUUUAAAGGUAUAGUUUAAUUCUAUAAAAUAUAG